RNAcentral lists this ribosomal RNA (400 nucleotides) under uncultured Acidobacteriota bacterium. RNAcentral's name for it is "bacterial SSU rRNA". It matches the Rfam family "Bacterial small subunit ribosomal RNA", at positions 32 to 446 of the family's 1533-position model. The record is from RNAcentral. Lineage: Bacteria; Pseudomonadati; Acidobacteriota.
AACACUGGCGGCGUGCAUAACACAUGCAAGUCGCACGAGAAAGGGGCUUCGGCCCUGAGUAAAGUGGCGCACGGGUGAGUAACACGUGAAUGAUCUACCUCCGAGUGGGGAAUAACUGAGGGAAACCUUAGCUAAUACCGCAUAACACUUACGAGUCAAAGCAGCAAUGCGCUUGGAGAGGAGUUCGCGGCAGAUAAGCUAGUUGGCGGGGUAAUGGCCCACCAAGGCGAUGAUCUGUAUCCGGCCUGAGAGGGCGCACGGACACACUGGAACUGAAACACGGUCCAGACUCCUACGGGAGGCAGCAGUGGGGAAUUUUGCGCAAUGGGGGAAACCCUGACGCAGCAACGCCGCGUGGAGGAUGAAGUCUCUUGGGACGUAAACUCCUUUCGAUAGGGAC